UGGGGAAUAUUGCACAAUGGGGGGAACCCUGAUGCAGCGACGCCGCGUGAGUGAAGAAGUAUUUCGGUAUGUAAAGCUCUAUCAGCAGGGAAGAAAAUGACGGUACCUGACUAAGAAGCCCCGGCUAACUACGUGCCAGCAGCCGCGGUAAUACGUAGGGGGCAAGCGUUAUCCGGAUUUACUGGGUGUAAAGGGAGCGCAGGCGGCGAUGCAAGCCAGAAGUGAAAACCCGGGGCCCAACCCCGCGGAUUGCUUUUGGAACUGUGUUGCUGGAGUGCAGGAGAGGCAAGCGGAAUUCCUGGUGUAGCGGUGAAAUGCGUAGAUAUCAGGAGGAACACCGGUGGCGAAGGCGGCUUGCUGGACUGUAACUGACGCUGAGGCUCGAAAGCGUGGGGAGCAA
RNAcentral lists this ribosomal RNA (400 nucleotides) under uncultured bacterium. RNAcentral's name for it is "bacterial SSU rRNA". It matches the Rfam family "Bacterial small subunit ribosomal RNA", at positions 355 to 771 of the family's 1533-position model. The record is from RNAcentral.